Molecule: long non-coding RNA, 1238 nt
Organism: Trichoplusia ni (cabbage looper)
Lineage: Eukaryota; Metazoa; Arthropoda; Insecta; Lepidoptera; Noctuidae
Exons: 3
Source: RefSeq, a predicted model, not a curated record
UUACGGUUUUUUUUUUAUUGUAAUUUUAAUCAAUGACUUAUGUGAUACCGUUACGAUUAUUUAUCAGUUAGACACUUCUUGCAAUUAAUUGUGUUUGAUUCAAGGACUACCUGAAGUAAGUCGAUUGCAUUAUCAAGGUGCAGGAUAUCCGCACGUCCCUUGUAAUGUGACGUCACGUCACUGUUAUCUGAUAAGUGAUAAGGAGAUGUCAACAAAGAUUAACAUACAUCCAUAGUCGUCUAACUUGCCCUGCCAGUGGGUGCCAGGUGUCAUACGCGAUAAAUAAUGUGUAUGUAAAGGUAUUUGUGUGCAUAAAGGUUGGACUGACAAAGUAUCAAUGAUUUUCAUCGGAUAGCAGACAUCGCUUGGCGUGGGAAUUACUAGGGCGACCGAGCGCCCCCAACAACUGGCAAGGCUUCGUGCAACCGCACACUUAUCUGUUAACUAAACUGUUUGUUGGCGGACCGAUGUCAGGUUAUUCGCUUUGAUUGACACCGGUCAUUUUAAUACCAGGUGGAGAGAGUUUUGUACAUAUUAUUAUUUCUAGGGUACGGGGGCUCAUGAUGACGAUGCGAGGAGACAAAUGAUGGUGGUUGCGGGAGAGGACUAUGUGGUGAGUCAGGCCAGUGACCGCGGCACGUGGCCGCGAGAUGAGCGCGUCGGGCCGGGGAGAGACGGCGCGCGGCGGCUGUCAUUGAUUUUCCCCGUUUCCCCCCUACCCCGAGCCUGGCUCCCUCCCCACCGCGUCUCACCCACUUCCAGCGCCCGAUAACGAGGUUAACGGGCGACGUGAGCGUCUGCCUAGGGUUGCCACAAUUUUUUUUGUAAGGAAAUGUAGGACUUUCUAAUGAACUGUCAAAAACCUACUAAUUAGGGUACAUCUUAAAAAAAAUUACGGCCCAUUUUUGUUUUGCUUGUGUCCGUAAGUAGUUAGCCUAUAUUUUUGUAAACGAGGUAUUUGAGGAACAGUGCUAGGUUUUGCAUGAUGAAGGGGGCAAGCACAAGAACCAUUAAUCUAUAUUUCUAUACUAAUAUAUAAAGCUGAAGAGUUUGUUUGUUUGAACGCGCAUAUCUCAGGAACUACUGGUCCAAAUUGAAAAAUUAUUUAUGUAUUGAAUAGACCAUUCAUCGAGGAAGGUUUUGGCUAUGUACCAUCACACUGCGAAUAAUUAGAGCGAAGAUACAAUGAAAAUUGUGGAAAAAACAGGGCAGGUAUGAAUCAUAACUUAUAUCUUCUA